This 911-nucleotide ribosomal RNA is filed under the name Cyphellophora suttonii. Its description in RNAcentral is "LSU rRNA". It matches the Rfam family "Eukaryotic large subunit ribosomal RNA", at positions 34 to 962 of the family's 3401-position model. Lineage: Eukaryota; Fungi; Ascomycota; Eurotiomycetes; Chaetothyriales; Cyphellophoraceae. The record is from RNAcentral.
AUAAGCAUAUCAAUAAGCGGAGGAAAAGAAACCAACAGGGAUUGCCUUAGUAACGGCGAGUGAAGCGGCAACAGCUCAAAUUUGAAAUCUGGCCUCUUUGGGGUCCGAGUUGUAAUUUGGAGAGGAUGUUUCGGGUACGGUCCGGGCUUAAAUUUCUUGGAACAGAAUGUCACAGAGGGUGAGAAUCCCGUCUGGAGUCCGGACACGGCCUAUGUGAAACUCCUUCGACGAGUCGAGUUGUUUGGGAAUGCAGCUCUAAAUGGGUGGUAAAUUUCAUCUAAAGCUAAAUAUUGGCCAGAGACCGAUAGCGCACAAGUAGAGUGAUCGAAAGAUGAAAAGCACUUUGAAAAGAGAGUUAAAAAGUACGUGAAAUUGUUGAAAGGGAAGCGCUGGCAACCAGACUUGCACGUCGGGGUUCCCCCUUGCUUUUGCCUGGGUUACUCCCCGGCGUUCAGGCCAACAUCGGUUUCGGGGGUUGGUUAAAGGCCUUGGGAAUGUACUUACCCUCCGGGGUAAACUUAUAGCCCAGGGUGUCAUGCGACCUCCCGGGACCGAGGAACGCGCUUCGGCUCGGAUGUUGGCGUAAUGGUUGUCAGCGACCCGUCUUGAAACACGGACCAAGGAGUCUAACAUCUAUGCGAGUGUUAGGGUGUCAAACCCUUACGCGGAAUGAAAGUGAACGGAGGUAGGAAGCCGUUAGGCUGCACUAUCGACCGAUCCUGAAGUUUACGGAUGGAUUUGAGUAAGAGCAUAGCUGUUGGGACCCGAAAGAUGGUGAACUAUGCCUGAAUAGGGUGAAGCCAGAGGAAACUCUGGUGGAGGCUCGCAGCGGUUCUGACGUGCAAAUCGAUCGUCAAAUUUGGGUAUAGGGGCGAAAGACUAUUCGAACCAUCUGGUAGCUGGGUCCUGCG